Molecule: ribosomal RNA, 890 nt
Filed under: uncultured bacterium
Lineage: Bacteria
Description: bacterial SSU rRNA
Rfam family: Bacterial small subunit ribosomal RNA
Source: RNAcentral
CAUGCAGUCGAACGCGUCUCCGUUAAUGAUUUUAGGUGCUUGCAUUUGAAAGACUUAACAUUGAGACGAGUGGCGAACUGGUGAGUAACACGUGGGUAACCUGCCCUUGAAGUAGGGGAUAACACUUGGAAACAGGUGCUAAUACCGUAUAACAACCAAAACCACCUGGUUUUGGUUUAAAAGACGGCUUCGGCUGUCACUUUAGGAUGGACCCGCGGCGUAUUAGCUUGUUGGUAAGGUAACGGCCUACCAAGGCGAUGAUACGUAGCCGACCUGAGAGGGUAAUCGGCCACAUUGGGACUGAGACACGGCCCAAACUCCUACGGGAGGCAGCAGUAGGGAAUCUUCCACAAUGGACGAAAGUCUGAUGGAGCAACGCCGCGUGAGUGAUGAAGGGUUUCGGCUCGUAAAACUCUGUUGUUGGAGAAGAACAGGUGUCAGAGUAACUGUUGACAUCUUGACGGUAUCCAACCAGAAAGCCACGGCUAACUACGUGCCAGCAGCCGCGGUAAUACGUAGGUGGCAAGCGUUGUCCGGAUUUAUUGGGCGUAAAGCGAGCGCAGGCGGUUUUUUAGGUCUGAUGUGAGAGCCUUCGGCUUAACCGGAGAAGUGCAUCGGAAACCGGGAGACUUGAGUGCAGAAGAGGACAGUGGAACUCCAUGUGUAGCGGUGAAAUGCGUAGAUAUAUGGAAGAACACCAGUGGCGAAGGCGGCUGUCUGGUCUGUAACUGACGCUGAGGCUCGAAAGCAUGGGUAGCGAACAGGAUUAGAUACCCUGGUAGUCCAUGCCGUAAACGAUGAGUGCUAAGUGUUGGAGGGUUUCCGCCCUUCAGUGCUGCAGCUAACGCAUUAAGCACUCCGCCUGGGGAGUACGACCGCAAGGUUGAAAC